RNAcentral lists this ribosomal RNA (244 nucleotides) under Vittina waigiensis. RNAcentral's name for it is "partial 16S ribosomal RNA". It matches the Rfam family "Bacterial large subunit ribosomal RNA", at positions 2267 to 2601 of the family's 2925-position model. Lineage: Eukaryota; Metazoa; Mollusca; Gastropoda; Cycloneritida; Neritidae. The record is from RNAcentral.
AUUUUAAUUGGGGCGAUUAAGGAACACCCAAAAGCUUCCUGAUUUAUUAUAGCGAANAAUAUUCUAUGGAUUAAAUCGAUCCAGCAAUGCUGAUCAACAAAACNAGUUACCACAGGGAUAACAGCAUAAUUCUUUUUGAGAGCUCAUAUCGAAAAAAGAGAUUGUGACCUCGAUGUUGGACUAGGGUAACCGGAAGGUGCAGCCGCUUUCCCGCUUGGUCUGUUCGACCAAUAAUUCCCUACGU